This 500-nucleotide ribosomal RNA is filed under the name uncultured bacterium. RNAcentral describes it as "partial 16S ribosomal RNA". It matches the Rfam family "Bacterial small subunit ribosomal RNA", at positions 30 to 523 of the family's 1533-position model. The record is from RNAcentral.
AUUGAACGCUGGCGGAAUGCUUUACACAUGCAAGUCGAACGGCAGCACGGACUUCGGUCUGGUGGCGAGUGGCGAACGGGUGAGUAAUGUAUCGGAACGUGCCCAGUCGUGGGGGAUAACGUAGUGAAAAUUACGCUAAUACCGCAUACGAUCUAUGGAUGAAAGCGGGGGAUCGCAAGACCUCGCGCGAUUGGAGCGGCCGAUAUCAGAUUAGGUAGUUGGUGGGGUAAAGGCCCACCAAGCCAACGAUCUGUAGCUGGUAUGAGAGGACGACCAGCCACACUGGAAAUGAGACACGGUCCAGACUCCUACGGGAGGCAGCAGUGGGGAAUUUUGGACAAUGGGCGCAAGCCUGAUCCAGCCAGUCCGCGUGCAGGAUGAAGGCCCUCGGGUUGUAAACUGCUUUUGUACAGAACGAAGAGGUUUCUACUAAUACUAGGAGCUCAUGACGGUACUGUAAGAAUAAGCACCGGCUAACUACGUGCCAGCAGCCGCAGUAA